Non-coding RNA from Cajanus cajan (pigeon pea), 672 nucleotides. The record is from RefSeq and is a predicted model, not a curated record. NCBI's taxonomy places the organism in Eukaryota, Viridiplantae, Streptophyta, Magnoliopsida, Fabales, Fabaceae.
CAAGUCCAUUAGAAUUGAUUAUGUUAAAGUUGUUACUUAUCUUUUUCUUUGGAUCAGUAUAAUGUAUUUUAUUCCACUCCUUCCCCUUAUUAUGCAUUAUUGAAACAUUAAGUUGGGACAAUAAUUUGUUGUCACAAGCCAAUGAAUGAAUCACGUUGAUGCAAGCUUGAAACUGGAUCAGGACCUAGGGAGCUUAUUAGGAGCUGAGAGUGAGAGCAGCAGUCCCAUGAUCAUAGUAGUGAAGUUUCUCAACCUUUUCACAACCUUUGCAUUCAGUCUUCAGGUGUAACUGUUUACUUUGGACUCGCUUUUGCUGCAAGUGAGUUUUUCACUUCAAAUGGUUUUCCUUGUCCUCUCUUGAUUCCAUCUGAUCAUUUACUAAAAACCAUUAACAAGGAUUUCGAUCAGGACAUUGAAUUGAAUUUAGAAGGGACUGAAACAAUACCCCCAUCGAAGAAUAUAGUAUUUAACAUAGUCACAGGCAAGUCGAUAGUGUUGAACAAUCUCUUCCACUUUAGGCCAGCUAUAUAUAUCACAGCUAUUUCUUUCUUUUUUGUAAUAAAAAAACAAGAGAAUUAUACUUCUCAAUACACUGGUUCUCCAACACUCUGCUCCCCUUCUCUGCCUCUGUUUGUUUUUAAUAUAUUAUCAGCUAAUUAAAAACUAUUUUAA